This 654-nucleotide ribosomal RNA is filed under the name uncultured Glomus. RNAcentral describes it as "SSU rRNA". It matches the Rfam family "Eukaryotic small subunit ribosomal RNA", at positions 357 to 1016 of the family's 1831-position model. Lineage: Eukaryota; Fungi; Glomeromycota; Glomeromycetes; Glomerales; Glomeraceae. The record is from RNAcentral.
GGGUAACGGGGUGUUAGGGCACGACACCGGAGAGGGAGCCUGAGAAACGGCUACCACAUCCAAGGAAGGCAGCAGGCGCGCAAAUUACCCAAUCCCGACAUGGGGAGGUAGUGACAAUAAAUAACAAUACAGGGUUCUUUUGGAUCUUGUAAUUGGAAUGAGUACAAUUUAAAUCUCUUAACGAGGAACAAUUGGAGGGCAAGUCUGGUGCCAGCAGCCGCGGUAAUUCCAGCUCCAAUAGCGUAUAUUAAAGUUGUUGCAGUUAAAAAGCUCGUAGUUGAAUUUCGGGAUCAAGGAAUCGGUCAUGCCUCGGUAUGUACUGGUUUUAUUGGUUCUCACCUUCUAAAGAACCAUAAUGUCAUUUAUUUGGUGUUAUGGGGAAUUAGGAAUGUUACCUUGAAAAAAUUAGAGUGUUUAAAGCAAGCUUACGCUUGAAUACAUUAGCAUGGAAUAAUGAAAUAGGACAUCAGAUUCUAUUUUGUUGGUUUCUAGGAUCGAUGUAAUGAUUAAUAGGGAUAGUUGGGGGCAUUAGUAUUCAAUUGUCAGAGGUGAAAUUCUUGGAUUUAUUGAAGACUAACUACUGCGAAAGCAUUUGCCAAGGAUGUUUUCAUUAAUCAAGAACGAAAGUUAGGGGAUCGAAGACGAUCAGAUACC